GAUUAACGUUGGCGGUGCGUCUAAUACAUGCAAGUCGAGCGGCCCGCAAGGGCAGCGGCGAACGGGUGAGCAAUAUGUUGGAACCUGCCCCGAACUCAGGGAUAUCUCGUCGAAAGACGAGUUAAUACCGGAUGGUCCCGCAAGGGUAAAGAUUUUUCGGUUCGGGAGGGGCCUACAGCCUAUCAGCUAGUUGGUAAGGUAAUGGCUUACCAAGGCGAUGACGGGUAGCCGGUCUGAGGGGAUGAUCAGCCACACUGGGACUGAGACACGGCCGAGACUCCGACGGGAGGCAGCAGUGGGGAAUAUUGGACAAUGGGCGCAAGCCUGAUCCAGCCAUGCCGCGUGAGUGACGAAGGCCUUAGGGUUGUAAAGCUCUUGUGGCGGGGAAGAUAAUGACGGUACCCGCAGAAUAAGCUCCGGCUAACUUCGUGCCAGCCGCCGCGGUAA
RNAcentral lists this ribosomal RNA (447 nucleotides) under uncultured bacterium. RNAcentral describes it as "partial 16S ribosomal RNA". It matches the Rfam family "Bacterial small subunit ribosomal RNA", at positions 28 to 523 of the family's 1533-position model. The record is from RNAcentral.